UGUUUGUGUAAAAGAGUCCUUUUGUGAAUUAAAAUCAACCAACAAACACUUAUUUUCUACCCGAGAACUGCGUGUAGCUUUGAAUUUCCCAUUGCAGCUGGGAAUACGUAGGAGCGGGAUGGUGUAUCUCGUCAAGCACAUUAAUAAAAAACCCUUUUUUGUGUCAAAAAAAAUGUUAAGAGUCUUUAGUGUCUUUUAAUGUCUUUUCUUUGUUUAAUUAGUAUAGAACAAAUAAUAAAGCAUCAUUACACAAGCGCGAGAACUAAUUUUAAUCCUAGAUCUAAAGAGAAG
This 291-nucleotide long non-coding RNA is filed under the name Trifolium pratense (red clover). RNAcentral describes it as "long non-coding RNA (TPRA_LNC002446)". The record is from RNAcentral. Lineage: Eukaryota; Viridiplantae; Streptophyta; Magnoliopsida; Fabales; Fabaceae.